This is a small nucleolar RNA of Medicago truncatula (barrel medic), 78 nucleotides long. It matches the Rfam family "Small nucleolar RNA R160". From Rfam's summary of the family: snoR160 is a C/D box small nucleolar RNA, which acts as a methylation guide for 25S ribosomal RNA in plants. snoR160 has been alternatively named snoZ270 in rice. NCBI's taxonomy places the organism in Eukaryota, Viridiplantae, Streptophyta, Magnoliopsida, Fabales, Fabaceae. The record is from Rfam.
AGCAAAAUGAUGAGGUUUUAAGAUCUGAAUAUAAUGUGGAUUCAUUAUUGAAAUGGUCUUCAAAGUUCUCUGAUUGCU